GAUGAACGCUGGCGGCGUGCUUAUCACAUGCAAGUCGAACGGUGAAGCAGAGCUUGCUCUGUGGAUCAGUGGCGAACGGGUGAGUAACACGUGAGCAACCUGCCCCUGACUCUGGGAUAAGCGCUGGAAACGGCGUCUAAUACUGGAUAUGAGCUGCGACCGCAUGGUCAGCAGUUGGAAAGAUUUUUCGGUCUGGGAUGGGCUCACGGCCUAUCAGCUUGUUGGUGAGGUAAUGGCUCACCAAGGCGUCGACGGGUAGCCGGCCUGAGAGGGUGACCGGCCACACUGGGACUGAGACACGGCCCAGACUCCUACGGGAGGCAGCAGUGGGGAAUAUUGCACAAUGGGCGAAAGCCUGAUGCAGCAACGCCGCGUGAGGGAUGACGGCCUUCGGGUUGUAAACCUCUUUUAGCAGGGAAGAAGCGAAAGCGACGGUACCUGCAGAAAAAGCGCCGGCUAACUACGUG
Molecule: ribosomal RNA, 467 nt
Filed under: uncultured bacterium
Lineage: Bacteria
Description: partial 16S ribosomal RNA
Rfam family: Bacterial small subunit ribosomal RNA
Source: RNAcentral